GUGCUCAUUUCAGCAGCACAUAUAUUAAAAUUGGAACGAUACAGACAUUAGCAUGACCCCCUGUGCAAGGAUGACAUGCAAAUUUGUGAAAUGUUCCAUAUUUAA
Myotis daubentonii (Daubenton's bat) is the source of this 105-nucleotide small nuclear RNA. Lineage: Eukaryota; Metazoa; Chordata; Mammalia; Chiroptera; Vespertilionidae. The record is from RefSeq and is a predicted model, not a curated record.